RNAcentral lists this non-coding RNA (272 nucleotides) under Staphylococcus aureus. RNAcentral's name for it is "Staphylococcus sRNA 35 (srn_0335)". It matches the Rfam family "Staphylococcus sRNA 35 (srn_0335)". From Rfam's summary of the family: Other name: Srn_0335, SAOUHSCs258. Northern blot transcript confirmed in exponentially growing and stationary cells in three cultivation media. Trans-encoded. Lineage: Bacteria; Bacillati; Bacillota; Bacilli; Caryophanales; Staphylococcaceae. RNAcentral also lists the same sequence under 1 other name. The record is from RNAcentral.
UAUUUAAAUGGAAUUGGGAGUAGGAAUGUGACAGAAAUAGUAUUUUAUAAAAUUUAUUUCGUUGUCACUCCCCAACUUGCACAUUAUUGUAAGCUGACUUUCCGCCAGCUUCUAUGUUGGGGCCCCGCCAACUUGCAUUGUCUGUAGAAUUUCUUUUUGAAAUUCUCUAUGUUGGGGCCCCGCCUAUAAUUGAAAAAUGCUUGUUACAUGGGCAUUUUCAUUCGGUCAACUACUACCAAUAUAAUAUUGUAGAGCCUAAGACAUUGAUUUAU